This 1297-nucleotide long non-coding RNA is filed under the name Amphibalanus amphitrite. RNAcentral's name for it is "uncharacterized LOC122374390". The record is from RNAcentral. Lineage: Eukaryota; Metazoa; Arthropoda; Thecostraca; Balanomorpha; Balanidae.
CGUCUUAAAUUGGUCGUAAUAAACAUUUCUUCCAAAAGGCACCGUCGCCUGUUAGCACGCCGCCAUUUGUCGUGUUGUCGGUGUGUGGGUGAGGCCGGAAAUUAGCGCCGAAUUAUUGGUAAUUUGGUUCUUAUAGGUAAAAUUAGCAUUUUUUAAAUAAUUUAGAUCAUGUUUGUAAAUUUGAAUAGCCUCAACGUUCAUGUGCGUCGGUAUAAAUGUUGAAAUAUUGCGAUAGAAUUUAUGAUGAUUUUGUAGGCUAUCAUGGCGCAUGCUUUCCGCGGUAUAAUAUUUUAAUUAUUUACGAAAUGUAUUGCUAUUUACAGGGUUUUAGUUUAUCUUAAAGUAAAUAAUAGGCCUAUUUUGUUGUUUGGGGCAAUUGUUGAUUAGAGAGGCACAUUUAACUGCCCACAGUAGCUAGAAAUGUUAUGGCCUGGCAUGUUGUGCAAAAGUUUGCAGUGUGGCCAUAUCAUUUAUUCAGUCAAUUGUCUGUGCAAGCAGGGACCAAUAGGAUAUAUCUUUUAGUUUUUAAUGAAAAGUUAAAUUUGGGCUUAUGCUAGGUUAUUCAUACUUGCAUUCUAAGUGGCUUUGUCAUGGAUUCAUAGAACAAUAAUAGAAGUGGUGACUGCAAAUGUGUCUGUUUUUCCACAGCUCAUCAAAGCGCCACCUCCUCGCUGUAGCAGUGGGCGUCGCCGUCACCACAGUAUUGUUCAGGAAGCUCGUGAUAAUGGUACCUAUGGUCCUACGUUGAGGAACGCUCAAUCAAAAAAUGAUAUGAUGAACUUCUUUGGAAUUAAGCGGACUAAGUACAGCUACAUUUGUAUUAUGUGCAUCGCUCAUGCAAGACAGCAGGCCAGGAUGCAGGGACACACAGCUGCAGGGGAUGAGCUGGAGAACCUGCAGCGCAUUCUCCAAGAGACGACGGAAGCCAACGGAGGCCCGCAAAACUUUCCAUCCCAUAAUCGUGAAUGGAGAGCUGGGCGGGGAAGACGCGGUAUUCGUCGAGGCCCAGGAGGUGGUAUCGGCGCCACCAGACCAAGCAUUCCUGCUGUGGCAGGCCGCCUUUUGGAUUUUUAACAUCAAAACUCCUAAAAACAUGGUCAAUCUAAAUUGGUUUCUGAGAACCAAAGUGUUUGGUGGGGUGAAGGCCGAUGUGCCGCCAUCAGCGGCGGCCAUUGCGAACGUGAAUCAAGUGGAGUGAGAUCCCCGUAGAGCAUGCCGCUGCGGGGUGUCGGAAGCGUUUGCCAAUUCUUUGAGCCUUCCACCGGCAGGACUAUAAAUACACAUUUCUUGAAAUAUA